AGUACUCUAGUCAAUCCAAAUAUUAUGAAUCUAUGAUUGACAAUAAUCGCCUAGCACGCCUUUUCCAAGUCUUCGAGGCUCCACUUUGUUUUAUAAUCAAAAAGCUCAUCAAUCCCUCCGACCCAUACACUUUCGUCCCCAUUGUCUCACUCUCAAGCAAACCCAAUCCCGAUACAAAACUCUCACAGACAAAAACACAAACACCUAAACUACAAAAAAAUCUCCUCAUGGAAAAAGAAAAACCCAAUAAUAUAAACUCAGCAACGUGUCAACAAGUCCCAAAGCUUCUCUCCUCUUUCGUCGACACUUUCGUCGAUUUCUCCGUCAGUGGCGGCCUCUUCUUACCAAAUUACCAAAACACCCCUCACUCUAAUGCCCCUGUAGAUAACCAAAAUUAUGAAAAUGCCCUCAAAACUCGGUAUCCUACUCCACCGAGUCGACUCGUCGCGAUCGGCGAUCUCCACGGCGACUUGGAGAAGUCGAAGGAGGCGCUCCGUCUCGCCAAUUUGAUUAACGACUCCGGUGACUGGACCGGCGGGUCAACCACCGUGGUUCAGAUCGGGGAUGUGCUCGAUCGCGGCGGCGAUGAGAUUAAAAUACUUUACUUCCUCGAGAGGCUUCGCCGGCAAGCGGCGAGAGCCGGCGGAGAAAUCAUCACCAUGAACGGAAACCACGAGAUCAUGAACGUGUGUAGAGAUUUCCGGUGCGUGUCGAAAUCGGGUUUGGAAGAGUUUAGGGUUUGGGCGGAGUGGUACCGUGUGGGCCAAGUAAUGAAAACUCUCUGCGAGGGUUUGGAAAACCCUAAGAACAUAUUCGAAGGAAUUCCUAAAUCACUUUGCCGAGUCAAUCACGAUGGUGAUGAAGCUUUUGUAGAAGGAAUCAGAGCGAGAAUCGCCGCUUUACGACCUACCGGUCCGAUAUCGGCGCGGUUUUUAUCGAAAAACGCGACUGUUUUGGUCAUCGGCGAUUCAGUUUUCGUUCACGGUGGCCUCAAGCCGGAGCACGUGUACUAUGGAUUGGAGAAAAUCAACGAAGAUGUGAGAGACUGGAUCAAUGGAUUGGGGGAAAAUUACACGCUGAAGCAUUUUGCUAGGAAGAAAGAUGCGGUGGUGUGGAUGAGGGAUUUUUCGGAUGAUUCGAAGAAGAAAUGUGAUUGUUCAGCUCUUGAAUUGUUGCUUAACACAAUUCCGGGGGUGAGGAGGAUGAUUAUGGGACAUACAAUUCAGAAGAAUGGGAUCAAUGGAGCUUGUGAAAAUCGGGCGAUAAGGAUUGAUGUGGGGAUGUCCAAAGGGUGCGGUAAUGGGUUGCCGGAGGUUUUGGAGAUUAGUGAGAAUUUGGGGUUAAGGAUUUUGACGUCAAACCCACAGUAUCAGAAUAAGUAUAAGGCUUAUUUGGAUAGUGAGAGGAAGGAAGGGCUUGGGUUGUUGAUUCCAGAACAAGGACCAAAACAAGUGGAAGUGAAGGCUUAGGAGUUUGGGUUGUUGAGCUGCUCAUGCUUCAUCCUGAGAAAUUUGUGAAGUUUGGAAUUGAUCAUCCUAAGGGUGUCCUUUGCUAUGGUCCUUCAGGGACGGGUAACACACUGUUAGCUAAAGCAGUGGCUAACAGAACUGAUGCUUGCUUCAUUCAAGUUAUUGGGAGUGAGCUUGUGCAGAGAUAUAUUGGUAUGGGAGCUAAGAUGGUUCGAGAACUGUUCCAGAUGGCACAUUCCAAAAACACGUAUUUUAUUUUUUGAUGAAGUGGAUGCAAUUGGAGGUACACAUUUUGAUGAUGGUAUUGGUGGUGAUAAUGAGAUGCAGCGUACAAUGUUGAAAAUUGUAAAUUAGCUUGAUGGCUUUGAUGCUCAAGGAAACAUAAAAGUUUUAAAGGCCACAAAUAG
RNA transcript from Quercus robur (English oak), 1876 nucleotides. It is a transcript of the gene named shewanella-like protein phosphatase 2, with no coding region annotated. NCBI's taxonomy places the organism in Eukaryota, Viridiplantae, Streptophyta, Magnoliopsida, Fagales, Fagaceae. The record is from RefSeq and is a predicted model, not a curated record. The transcript has 3 exons.